This 76-nucleotide transfer RNA is filed under the name Rhodocyclaceae bacterium. RNAcentral's name for it is "tRNA-Thr". It matches the Rfam family "tRNA". Rfam says of the family: Transfer RNA (tRNA) molecules are approximately 80 nucleotides in length. Lineage: Bacteria; Pseudomonadati; Pseudomonadota; Betaproteobacteria; Rhodocyclales; Rhodocyclaceae. The record is from RNAcentral. RNAcentral also lists the same sequence under 1 other name.
GCCGGCAUAGCUCAGUUGGCAGAGCACUCGCCUUGUAAGCGAGAUGUCCUCCGUUCAAAUCGGAGUGUCGGCACCA